This 2397-nucleotide long non-coding RNA is filed under the name Lactuca sativa (garden lettuce). RNAcentral describes it as "long non-coding RNA (LSAT_LNC001876)". The record is from RNAcentral. Lineage: Eukaryota; Viridiplantae; Streptophyta; Magnoliopsida; Asterales; Asteraceae.
AAAUUAUUUAAUUUACUAUUUAACUUCAAAAAAGCCAGAAAAUCAAUCUUUUAUUAAUAUCUCAUUAGAAAUUAGGAUAAUAGAAAGGAAAAUAAAUAAGCAAUAACAAAAACUCCAAAGAUUGCUGAAAAACCGAAACCAAUCCUAGUAAAUUAGGAUACAAUUUGAUUAAGGAAACCAAAGCGAAAACCAAAAAAAAUUAUAUUAAUUGGAAAAAACCGCUGGAUUAUACACCUCUAUAUCCCCGCUCUGGACUUUCUCCUCUCUGCCUUCGGUGAACUAUGUGCACUAUCGGUCUCUCAUCUCUACCGUUCGCCGAAUGCAACACCGACCAACACGACCUCUCUGAUCGGUGCGUUUUUUUCCUCUCAUCUCUGUCGUUUGCCUAUCUGCAACUCCCAUCAGAAAAUUUUGUGGCUGGUGAGUUCUCCUUCUAUCAUCUCCACUGGAUUUGUUCUUUCGUUUUUUUUCACUCUUUCUCUCACUAGAGUCAUCGAAAUUGGUAUUGAUAAUGGACAAAAAUUUAAAAGACACAUAUGAGCUGUAAAAAGUACUAAAAGACUGCAACAAUAAAUGAUAUGUUAUUUGGUUAUGGCCUAGGAAUUGUUAUUUAAUCAAAAUAAAUAAAUAAUACAUUAUGAAAAUUUUAUAAAACAAUUUUGUUUGUUAAAAAUAUAAAAUCGUAANNNNNNNNNNNNNNNNNNNNNNNNNNNNNNNNNNNNNNNNNNNNNNNNNAAUCAUUUAAUAUAUAUAUAUAUAUAUAUAUCAUCUUCCUAUUCAACUUUUGUUAAAAAUCUCAUAAAUGAUAUAAUAGCUUUGUUAAAUAAUUUAUAUAGAAUAAAAAGCUUAUGAUAAUUCAAAGGGUAUAUAGAAUAACUUCAUUAAUUAUUUAAAAGUUUUGAUUUCGGCCCCUCCACUGAUAGUAUUCGUGUUCCGCCCCCGAGUGAAAUUGAUAUUAUCACCUUCGGAACUUUGAUAACUUAAAAUGUAAUAUUGAAAAUAGUCCGAUCUUAUUGUAAUACAUUUAAUGAUUAACGAUGAUAACUAAUGCAACAAAUCUUAAAAAAUUAUUGUUUCUUACACUUUGAGUAAUAUUGAGAUGGUUGUUUUUUAAGGGCAUCUUAUAUGUAUGAUUACAAAAUAAUAAAACAUGCGACUUUUUCAUGAUCGACUGGAUUAGUAUAAAUAAAUCGUAAAACAUGAUUAGUGCGUAGCAACUAGCAAGUAGCAAUGUACCUUAAAAUAGAACGGUUUUAAACUUUUAUUUAUAUUGCCCCAGUAAGCUCUUGAUUUAUGGAGACUUUCUUUUCUACCAGAAAGAAAGACAUAGGACACGGCUCCAGAAGUUGGUGUUGGUCUCGAGACGAAGGAUUCGAUAAGGCAGUAAAGGAAAAUUCGAUUGAUGCUAGUUCCAGAAAGCAGAUUCCAGAUGUGGAGAUUACGACUAGAGAGAUUUUGGAAGGGGUUCCAGUGGGCCAAUACUCAUAAUUCCCCUAUAUUAUGGGCUUAGUUAGCCCGUUUGUUAUAAUAAGUUAAAUUUUCUCCAUAUCAAAUUAUGUUUGCUAGCUUUGGCUCUUUCAAAAAAAAAUUAUCAAUUAAUUUGUAAACUCUACCACUGUUAAUUAUUUAAUUUGAUAAAUUAAUAAAAAUAAAUUUAGUUCGUAUAUAGACGUAUAGCAUGUUUAUGCGAACCAUUUUAACUUUUGUGUGAUUUUUAUUUCCUUUCACCCAUGAUUAUUUGUGUUUGUGUAAUUCUAAAUUAUAUCAAUGGUCAUUAUGGUUUGGUAUAAACAUUUUUUUUGUCCUUAACUUAUUUCUUUAACUCGGACAUAGUUUUUAUGAUACUUUUUGUUAUAUUUUUGGUCAUUGCUAAACGUAAAAUAAAUAUUUUGUCCUUAAUAUUUUUUUAAUUCAUUUGUUUUUUGGUUACUCUUUAUUAAUUUAGAAAAUAAACUUAGAUAAUUUAUAAAUAAAUGGGUCCUACAUCCCACAUCCUCAUCACUCGCCAGAUUUCGACACCACCUCCACCCGCCAUUCUUUCCACCACCUUAUUCCUUUCAUCCCAAUUAUUUUCAUCUUAUAAAUUAAACCUAGAUGCCAACAAUGAAAAUCAGACAUGUACAAACCUAAUGUAAAUCAGUUGACAUCUACAACCAUCUUUUAUGCUCGAAUCCAUCUAAUGAUUUUUUUUAACGUGGGUUGAGUUUAAAUGUUGGGGCUGAAAAUGAUUUUCUAGGAGUGAUAGUGGGAGAAAAAUCAGAGAAGCUCCAAAUGAAACCCAAAUUUGAAAACCAAAACUUGAAAUGAAUAUUUUUCCUUUUUCUCCAUCCAUCUACCUUGUCCCUCAAUUGUCUAGCCUAUAUAGUGAUUGCAAUCCUUUUGUCGAUCUUCUCAAUC